UCGCUGGAGGACCAGUGGUUAGGCCACAGCACUCUCAACACACUCUACAGCCAGAGUUCGAUUCCCGGCCAGGGAA
Molecule: non-coding RNA, 76 nt
Organism: Pangasius djambal
Lineage: Eukaryota; Metazoa; Chordata; Actinopteri; Siluriformes; Pangasiidae
Source: the annotation of a GenBank genome assembly